GACCUGUUAGUUGAAAAACAAUAAAGAAUUGCAGAUUCUUAGGUACUAAAGAGUACAGGUUU
RNAcentral lists this transfer RNA (62 nucleotides) under Loxocorone allax. RNAcentral's name for it is "tRNA-Cys". The record is from RNAcentral. Lineage: Eukaryota; Metazoa; Entoprocta; Loxosomatidae.